RNAcentral lists this long non-coding RNA (257 nucleotides) under Homo sapiens (human). RNAcentral's name for it is "non-protein coding lnc-PDE4A-2:1". The record is from RNAcentral. Lineage: Eukaryota; Metazoa; Chordata; Mammalia; Primates; Hominidae.
AAAAAAAAAGUUUGCGCCAUAAAAUUAGUUACAACCCUGAGCAGUGGAUAGGGUGCUGGUGCUUGCAGGAGGGCGAGUCCUUUAAAUAGGGAACUCCCUCAAAGCAUGUGCACUUUUAUUUGAUUUAUAAGAAAUAUCAUUUGGUCCAAAGUUUUGAAGAAUGAAACAGAUGUUUGCUCUUGUUGCCCAUGCUGGAGUGCAGUGGUUAAGAUCUCGGCUUACCACAACCUCCACCUCCCGGGUUCAAGCGGUUCUCC